This 335-nucleotide long non-coding RNA is filed under the name Homo sapiens (human). RNAcentral's name for it is "non-protein coding lnc-TUB-7:1". Lineage: Eukaryota; Metazoa; Chordata; Mammalia; Primates; Hominidae. The record is from RNAcentral.
AGAAUAAGUAGGUAUUGUUUCUAGCUGCUAAUUUUGGAAUGUGUGUUGGAAUGUGUUACGCAGCUGUAGAUAAUUAAUACACUGCCACAGUGGCAUAUAUACUCUGCAGAGAAGGGUCCUCUCCUCAGGCCAUUGAGAGGGGGCCCUGCAGACAGCUCUCUGCCUGACAACCCGUGUUGUUGUGAACUUCCUCCUAGAGCACAGGCCUUGAUGUGGAGUGUUUCGAGGAGAGGAGCCCAGAGGACAGAGCCCUGUCUCCAACUGCCCUACCCAGGCCCCCUGCCCUCAGCUGGGCAGACGAGGAAAGUGGGAGAAGCUGCCUCACGUCCUCAAGG